GCCGCGGUAAAACCAGCACCUCAGUGGUCAGGAGGAUUAUUGGGCCUAAAGCAUCCGUAGCCGGCUCUGUAAGUUUUCGGUUAAAUCCAUGCGCUCAACGCAUGGGCUGCCGAAAAUACUGCAUAGCUAGGGAGUGGGAGAGGUAGACGGUACUCGGUAGGAAGGGGUAAAAUCCUUUGAUCUAUCGAUGACCACCUGUGGCGAAGGCGGUCUACCAGAACACGUUCGACGGUGAGGGAUGAAAGCUGGGGGAGCAAACCGGAUUAGAUACCCGGGUAGUCCCAGCUGUAAACGAUGCAGACUCGAUGAUGCAUUGGCAUAUAGCCAGUGCAGUGUCGCAGGGAAGCCGUUAAGUCUGCCGCCUGGGAAGUACGUACGCAAGUAGAAACUAAAGAAUUGGCGGGGGAACACGGUC
This 415-nucleotide ribosomal RNA is filed under the name crenarchaeote SCGC AAA008-O05. RNAcentral describes it as "SSU rRNA". It matches the Rfam family "Archaeal small subunit ribosomal RNA", at positions 464 to 883 of the family's 1478-position model. Lineage: Archaea; Thermoproteati; Thermoproteota. The record is from RNAcentral.